This 244-nucleotide ribosomal RNA is filed under the name uncultured Staphylococcus sp. Its description in RNAcentral is "partial 16S ribosomal RNA". It matches the Rfam family "Bacterial small subunit ribosomal RNA", at positions 524 to 767 of the family's 1533-position model. Lineage: Bacteria; Bacillati; Bacillota; Bacilli; Caryophanales; Staphylococcaceae. The record is from RNAcentral.
UACGUAGGUGGCAAGCGUUAUCCGGAAUUAUUGGGCGUAAAGCGCGCGUAGGCGGUUUUUUAAGUCUGAUGUGAAAGCCCACGGCUCAACCGUGGAGGGUCAUUGGAAACUGGAAAACUUGAGUGCAGAAGAGGAAAGUGGAAUUCCAUGUGUAGCGGUGAAAUGCGCAGAGAUAUGGAGGAACACCAGUGGCGAAGGCGACUUUCUGGUCUGUAACUGACGCUGAUGUGCGAAAGCGUGGGGA